Molecule: long non-coding RNA, 1277 nt
Filed under: Setaria viridis
Lineage: Eukaryota; Viridiplantae; Streptophyta; Magnoliopsida; Poales; Poaceae
Description: long non-coding RNA (SVIR_LNC004449)
Source: RNAcentral
UGCAACCAUCGCUACAGCGGUACUGAAAUCCAUACGGAACAGAAGCCUUAUGGUAUUUAGCAUAGGAUGAAAACCACCAUGGCUAAGCGGUGCUAAUCCUCACUACUGUCACAAUACAUAGAAAAUUCAUAGCCUACAAGAGAAAUAGAUACUCACUGUAACAAAAUACUACAACAUACAUCAAUAUUGAAACUACACGGAAAUAGAAAUGUUAAAUUACCUCGACCUCCCAAGGAUCUAAACCUCGAAGUUCAUACACACUCCUCUGUGGAAAUUGAUGUGACCUAUGGUGAUCACCGCCUUGUUCACCAAUAAUCCAAUCUAUUUUCGUGAAAUUAUCCCCAAUCCUGGCAAACACAAAUAAAAAUAGAUACAACAUUGAUGCAUUAAGAGUAAAAUUUAAAAUAUCUAAGGAAAAAUAAUGCAAGCAACACACACCUUUCACAGAAUUCAUCUAUUUCUGCUAUAUCUUCAUUAAGGUACCAUUUACAAGUGGACCCACCAGACAUAGUUUCCUCACCUGCAUGAAAUGAGAACCAAACCUGUUGUAGCAAACAUCCAAAACAACCAAUAAAAGAAGACAAUACCAAUUUGAAAACUAACCUCGGUACGACAUGACCAAUUUACCAACAAAUACCACAACAACAGCGUAUUCCUGACCAAGAAGAUGAACCGCUUUAGCAUCAAACUCAUUUGCACAAUUUCCCCAUAAAACAAGCUUCAUCUCCAAACCACUGCAAACAUACAAUAAAAACAAAUCACCAAUGGUACACACAAAUAUAAAUAACCAUGUAUAAAAACCAAUAGAAUUUAACUCCAACGAACAAGCAACAUACCUCAAAUCCUUGAGACCAAUAACUCUUAUAGGUGUAUCAAUUGAAUUACUCCCUACGCGUAUAUGAGUAACAUCAGACACACAAACUAUCAUUGCUAUAACAUUUGAAAGUACACAUAAUCAUUGUAAGAGGGAAAUAAAAUCUAAAAGAAUAGUAAAUAACUCAAAAUAACCUAACAAUCAAUAUCACAUCACUAACCUAUAAAUAUGCCUGACUUCCUACCCACGAAGAAAGAUCAGAAAGUGGCGAUAGGUGAAACACAAAUCAAGAAAAUGAUUCAACGAUAGAUUCAACAUGAUCCAUCUUCAUCCAUGGGGUGAGUUUGAUCAUAUAUUUCACACAAAAAGGCUUAUAGGAAGGCUUCAUAUUGACCACAACGAACUUACUAAACGAAUACACACCACCUUCCGCGACGGCACUCUUAACCUUAUCAACAUUACG